Schistosoma margrebowiei is the source of this 78-nucleotide non-coding RNA. Lineage: Eukaryota; Metazoa; Platyhelminthes; Trematoda; Strigeidida; Schistosomatidae. The record is from Rfam.
AGCCUUUCGAAUCCGUGCUGAGAUUUCGUCAAACACCAACCCAUUAGGGAUGAUCAUACUUCCAAGAUAAGUGAAUCU